Molecule: ribosomal RNA, 466 nt
Filed under: uncultured bacterium
Lineage: Bacteria
Description: partial 16S ribosomal RNA
Rfam family: Bacterial small subunit ribosomal RNA
Source: RNAcentral
GAUGAACGCUAGCAGCGGGCUUAACACAUGCAAGUCGAACGAGGAAGCCCAGCUUGCUUGCUUUAGUAUGGUCAAAGUGGUGAAUAACACGGGAGUAACCUGCCCUUCACUCUUUGAUAAGCCUGUGGAACGGGGACUGAUACUGGAUAUCACUUCGCAUCGCAUGGGAGGGGGUUGUAAGUGUUAUUGGUCUUGUAUGGACAGGCGGCCUAUCAGCUUGUUUGGGAGGUAAUUGAUCACCAAGGGUACGACGGGUAGCCGGCCUGAGAGGGUGACCGGCCCAACUGGGACUGAGACACGGCCGAGACCCCUACGGGAGGCAGGAGUGGGGAAUAUUGCACAAUGGGCGCAAGCCGGAUGCAGCGACGCCGCGUGAGGGAUGACGGCCUUCGGGUUGUAAACCUCUUUCAGUAGGGAAGAAGCGAGAGUGAGGGUACCUGAAGAAGAAGCGCCGGCUAACUACGUG